UGUAAACGCUCGCAGAUUGAAUGACGAAAUAAAAGAAGAAACUACAGCACAGUCAAUUUUCUCCAUGACAGCCUGAGAGAUGUAGCUGGUGCUGCCACUUUUCCUUCAUUUUUCCCUGCCUUGAAUAUGGUGGUGAUGCCUGGAGCUUCAGCAGCCAUCUUAUGGCCAUGAAAUGGCAAGCAUGAGAAUGAAAGAAAAUGCACUCAUCAUGAAAGGAGGAAGAGCAGAAGAAAUCUGGGUCACUGGUGAUAUCAAUGGAUAGCUGAAGCAGUGCUGCUCUGGAUGGAAAAUGCCCUGGGUUCUCCGAGACUUAACACCCCGCCUUGUGAACGCGAGCAAGAUUAUUCUCUCUGAGCAGCUCUUUUCACAUGUGAUAAGCUUGGCAAGUUGCCCUGGAUUGAAUUCUCACCCACUGUCUUCACCCAACCCAGCAGAGAAGAAGGCUUGUGACUGUGUAAGGUGAAAAUGGAUAUACCAUUUCUGGGAAGAGAAAAGAAGCCAAUUAAAAGUGGGGCAUGUCAUUACACUGACCAGAAAUGAACGUACCUUUUUAGAAAUAAAGAAUCUGUAUAUUCCUGUGGCUCUGAAAAAAAAAAAAAAA
Molecule: long non-coding RNA, 601 nt
Filed under: Homo sapiens (human)
Lineage: Eukaryota; Metazoa; Chordata; Mammalia; Primates; Hominidae
Description: uncharacterized LOC102724710 (LOC102724710)
Source: RNAcentral